GACGAACGCUGGCGGCGUGCCUAAUACAUGCAAGUCGAACGAUCUUUUCUAUGGAAGCUUGCUUCCACUGAGAAGAUAGUGGCGGACGGGUGAGUAACACGUGGGUAACCUGCCCAUAAGAGGGGGAUAACAUCCGGAAACGGGUGCUAAUACCGCAUAGUUUUCUUGAUCGCAUGAUCGGGAAAGGAAAGACGGCCUUUGUGCUGUCGCUUAUGGAUGGACCCGCGGCGUAUUAGUUAGUUGGUGAGGUAAUGGCUCACCAAGACGAUGAUACGUAGCCGACCUGAGAGGGUGAUCGGCCACAUUGGGACUGAGACACGGCCCGAACUCCUACGGGAGGCAGCAGUAGGGAAUCUUCCGCAAUGGACGAAAGUCUGACGGAGCAACGCCGCGUGAGUGAAGAAGGUUUUCGGAUCGUAAAACUCUGUUGUCAGAGAAGAACAAGUCGGAGAGUAACUGCUCCGGCCUUGGCGGUAUCUGACCAGAAAGCCAGGCUAACUACGUACG
Molecule: ribosomal RNA, 507 nt
Filed under: uncultured bacterium
Lineage: Bacteria
Description: bacterial SSU rRNA
Rfam family: Bacterial small subunit ribosomal RNA
Source: RNAcentral